AAUCUAAUCAAAUCCACACAUGCGAACCAACCAUGUUGGCCAUCCGGGUCUAGUAUCCGGAUUGAGAUGGGUGAGGGUCGAAAGGCCUGCGCCUGUCUCAGUCGUUGCUCCAUGCCAAUGGAAGUGGCGUCGGUCUUUAUAUCUAACCAUCCAACACCAAACCUAAAUACUAAAUCAAACCGAGGGAUCAGCUUAGAGCUGGCUCUCAUAAACCAAGACAACUCUCAACAACGGAUAUCUUGGCUCUCAGAUCGAUGAAGAACGCAGCGAAAUGCGAUACGUAGUGUGAAUUGCAGAAAUACGUGAAUCAUCGAAUCUUUGAACGCAAAUUGCGCUCGAGGCUUCGGCCAAGAGCAUGUCUGCCUCAGCGUCGGGUUAAUACUCAUGUACGCAUUCCCCACCAAGAGUGUGUGUGUGGAACUGGCUGUCUCGGUACUUGCCCUCUUUCGGGAGGCGUAAUCACCGGGUCAGCUGAAGUGCAGAUGUCAAAGCAUGGACCGUUUAACGGGCCUCUACUGGGUAGGCAACUUGUUUGCUGCAUUGCUUUAGUAGAUGGCUUGGGUACCGUCUUUGGCACAAAGCAGGAGUACUUGUUCAUUCAGGUACCACCAAUACCAUUUUCGACCUGAGCUCAGGCAAGA
Molecule: small RNA, 641 nt
Filed under: Eudorina elegans
Lineage: Eukaryota; Viridiplantae; Chlorophyta; Chlorophyceae; Chlamydomonadales; Volvocaceae
Description: eukaryotic LSU rRNA
Rfam family: 5.8S ribosomal RNA (bases 220-373)
Source: RNAcentral